Molecule: ribosomal RNA, 504 nt
Filed under: fungal sp. E14932B
Lineage: Eukaryota; Fungi
Description: eukaryotic LSU rRNA
Rfam family: 5.8S ribosomal RNA (bases 155-308)
Source: RNAcentral
AUCCCGAGUUUGAAACUCAUCAACCUGUGAACAUACCUAAACGUUGCUUCGGCGGGAACAGACGGCCCCGUAACACGGGCCGCCCCCGCCAGAGGACCCCCUAACUCUGUAUCUAUAAUGUUGUUUUUUCUGAGUAAACAAGCAAAUAAAUUAAAACUUUCAACAACGGAUCUCUUGGCUCUGGCAUCGAUGAAGAACGCAGCGAAAUGCGAUAAGUAAUGUGAAUUGCAGAAUUCAGUGAAUCAUCGAAUCUUUGAACGCACAUUGCGCCCGCCAGUAUUCUGGCGGGCAUGCCUGUUCGAGCGUCAUUACAACCCUCAGGCCCCCGGGCCUGGCGUUGGGGAUCGGCGGAGCCCUCUGUGGCAUACGCCGUCCCCCAAAUACAGUGGCGGUCCCGCCGCAGCUUCCAUUGCGUAGUAGCUAACACCUCGCAACUGGAGAGCGGCGCGGCCACGCCGUAAAACACCCAACUUCUGAACGUUGACCUCAAAUCAGGUAGGAAUA